CCAUGGCCACCGUCAUCCAGGAUGUCUUGGGCUAUUUCCCCGGUGAGGCGCACGCCCUCGCGGCGUCCUCCUCCCUCUCCGCAGCCGCGGGCUACCACGGCGAGGACCGCGUCAGCGCCCUCCCCGACACCCUCCUCCGCAACAUCCUCUCUCGCCUCCCCGCCAAGGACGCCGCCCGAACCGCCUCCCUCGCCUCCCGGUGGCGCCACAUCUGGCGCUCCACCCCGCUCGUCCUCCGCGACGCCGACGUGCCCCGCGCCGCGGUCGCGCGCGUCCUCGCCAGCCACCCGGGCCCCUUCCGCGCCGUCACCCUCGCCCGAUGCAGGUUCGCCUACCACGAGCGUAUGCUCGCCCAGUGGCCGCGCCUCCUCGCCUCCAAGGGCGUCGACGACCUCGUCCUAGUCAACAACGCCAGCGACCCCUCCGCCGACACGCUGCCCCUCCCCGCCGACGUCUUCCGAUGCGCCUCGCUCCAGCGCCUCUUCCUCGGCUUCUGGACGCUCCCGGACACCGCCGGCCUCCGCCGCGGCGCCGACGUGUUCCCUCUCCUCCGGGAGCUCUCCCUGUUCGCCACCACCAUCACCGACGGGGACGACCUCGACUACAUGCUCGCCUGCAGCCCUGCUCUCCAGACCCUCGCGCUCAUAUUCAACCAGACGCCCGACCGCGUCCACCUCCGCAGCAAGAGCCUGCGUUGCGUGCUCCUCUGGUUGUCCAUGGUGGAGGAGGGGGUCGUCGUGGUGGACGCCCCGCUCCUCGAGCGGCUUAUCCUCUUUGACUGUCCUGCUGGAUCUGGUGAAGAAGAGGGUCAGGUGAAGGUCAAGAUUUUUUGUGCACCAAAGCUGCGGGUGCUUGGUUACUUGGACCCAAGAGUUCACCAGCUGCAGAUCGGUGACAAAGUCAUCAAGCCUAACGCAAGGCCCAGCCCAAGCACCAUGGUUCCAGGCGUCAAGGUAUUGGCCUUGAAGAUUAAUCUGGGUGUCUCAAAGGAGGUCAAGAUGAUGACCAGCUUCCUCGCCUGCUUUCCCAACGUCGAGAAGCUGCACAUCGAGUCUGUUGUAGCCGAUGAUGGACCUGCUGGACAGCAGCACCCGUCCAAGGUCUGGAAGGAGGUCUGUCGCGUCGACUGCCUCAAGUCACAUGUCAAGAAGGUGCUUCUCCACCAAUUCCGCGGCGACCAGGGUGAACUUGACUUCAUCAAGUUCAUCGGCAGGAGCGCGCUGCAGCUGCAGGCCUUGCUGGUUGUGCUCACCCCAGAAGAUUACGCUUCGCCGGACAAGGUGAACGAGCUGAUGCGCAAACUCAGGGAUCACUCCGGUGUACCAUGGGCUUGCAAGUACGGUUUUCUGCUGGUGGUAGGGCCUAAGCUGCCGAGCGUUUGGAAAUGGAACUUCCGGAAAGCGUCCGACCUUGCUGAAGAUGACCCUUUUGCAUCUUGAACCUGAGGGUCUACCAGGUAGCCAGGCGUUAUGUGUUAUCUUAUACAUCACGGUGGCAGGAUGACAUAUGCUAUGUAGCUCUGCUUGUGAUUUCUAGGCUGCAACAUCCAGUGGGUCUAGCAUGUAGCCAAGCCUUAUGUGUUAUCUUAUGCAUCAUGGUGAUUAGGAUGACAAACGCUGUGCACCUCUGCUUGUGGUUUCUAGGCUGCAACCUCCAGUGGUAGAUGUUUCUGACCAACUGAUUAUAUUACGAGUUGCUGCGGAAGACAGGUAUCAUCUGUGUCUGUAUUUUGUGUAUGAUUGGAUAGUUUAGCUAUAAG
This is an RNA transcript of Lolium rigidum, 1759 nucleotides long. It is a transcript of the gene named putative FBD-associated F-box protein At5g56700, with no coding region annotated. The record is from RefSeq and is a predicted model, not a curated record. The transcript has 5 exons. Lineage: Eukaryota; Viridiplantae; Streptophyta; Magnoliopsida; Poales; Poaceae.